RNAcentral lists this ribosomal RNA (1407 nucleotides) under uncultured bacterium. Its description in RNAcentral is "16S ribosomal RNA". It matches the Rfam family "Bacterial small subunit ribosomal RNA". The record is from RNAcentral.
GAGUUUGAUCAUGGCUCAGGACGAACGCUCGGCGGCGUGCCUAAUACAUGCAAGUAGAACGCUGAAGAGAGGAGCUUGCUCUUCUUGGAUGAGUUGCGAACGGGUGAGUAACGCGUAGGUAACCUGCCUUGUAGCGGGGGAUAACUAUUGGAAACGAUAGCUAAUACCGCAUAACAAUGGAUGACACAUGUCAUUUAUUUGAAAGGGGCAAUUGCUCCACUACAAGAUGGACCUGCGUUGUAUUAGCUAGUAGGUGAGGUAACGGCUCACCUAGGCGACGAUACAUAGCCGACCUGAGAGGGUGAUCGGCCACACUGGGACUGAGACACGGCCCAGACUCCUACGGGAGGCAGCAGUAGGGAAUCUUCGGCAAUGGGGGCAACCCUGACCGAGCAACGCCGCGUGAGUGAAGAAGGUUUUCGGAUCGUAAAGCUCUGUUGUAAGUCAAGAACGAGUGUGAGAGUGGAAAGUUCACACUGUGACGGUAGCUUACCAGAAAGGGACGGCUAACUACGUGCCAGCAGCCGCGGUAAUACGUAGGUCCCGAGCGUUGUCCGGAUUUAUUGGGCGUAAAGCGAGCGCAGGCGGUUUGAUAAGUCUGAAGUUAAAGGCUGUGGCUCAACCAUAGUUCGCUUUGGAAACUGUCAAACUUGAGUGCAGAAGGGGAGAGUGGAAUUCCAUGUGUAGCGGUGAAAUGCGUAGAUAUAUGGAGGAACACCGGUGGCGAAAGCGGCUCUCUGGUCUGUAACUGACGCUGAGGCUCGAAAGCGUGGGGAGCGAACAGGAUUAGAUACCCUGGUAGUCCACGCCGUAAACGAUGAGUGCUAGGUGUUGGAUCCUUUCCGGGAUUCAGUGCCGCAGCUAACGCAUUAAGCACUCCGCCUGGGGAGUACGACCGCAAGGUUGAAACUCAAAGGAAUUGACGGGGGCCCGCACAAGCGGUGGAGCAUGUGGUUUAAUUCGAAGCAACGCGAAGAACCUUACCAGGUCUUGACAUCCCGAUGCUAUUUCUAGAGAUAGAAAGUUACUUCGGUACAUCGGUGACAGGUGGUGCAUGGUUGUCGUCAGCUCGUGUCGUGAGAUGUUGGGUUAAGUCCCGCAACGAGCGCAACCCCUAUUGUUAGUUGCCAUCAUUCAGUUGGGCACUCUAGCGAGACUGCCGGUAAUAAACCGGAGGAAGGUGGGGAUGACGUCAAAUCAUCAUGCCCCUUAUGACCUGGGCUACACACGUGCUACAAUGGUUGGUACAACGAGUUGCGAGUCGGUGACGGCAAGCUAAUCUCUUAAAGCCAAUCUCAGUUCGGAUUGUAGGCUGCAACUCGCCUACAUGAAGUCGGAAUCGCUAGUAAUCGCGGAUCAGCACGCCGCGGUGAAUACGUUCCCGGGCCUUGUACACACCGCCCGUCA